GCAAUGAUGACUUCUCUAAUAUUGAUUCUGAGAAAUGAUGUGACUGCAUUUCCUCUAAGAAGUUCUGAGCUU
Molecule: small nucleolar RNA, 72 nt
Organism: Hypanus sabinus (Atlantic stingray)
Lineage: Eukaryota; Metazoa; Chordata; Chondrichthyes; Myliobatiformes; Dasyatidae
Product: small nucleolar RNA SNORD61
Exons: 1
Source: RefSeq, a predicted model, not a curated record